RNAcentral lists this microRNA precursor (202 nucleotides) under Oryza brachyantha (malo sina). Its description in RNAcentral is "MIR812 microRNA precursor family". It matches the Rfam family "MIR812 microRNA precursor family". Lineage: Eukaryota; Viridiplantae; Streptophyta; Magnoliopsida; Poales; Poaceae. The record is from Rfam by way of RNAcentral.
UUCAUAUGACGCCGUUGACUUUUAGCUUUACGUUUGAUCAUUCGUCUUAUUCAAAAAAAAUAUAUAACUAAUUAUUUUGUUAUAAUAUGAUUUAUUAUUAUAUGAAUUUUAAGUAUGUCUUGUAAUUUUGCAUAUUUGGAUAUAAAUUUUGAAUAAGACGAAUGGUUAAACGUGGACCUAAAGGUCAACGGCGUCAUAUAUA